This 1635-nucleotide ribosomal RNA is filed under the name metagenome. RNAcentral describes it as "bacterial LSU rRNA". It matches the Rfam family "Bacterial large subunit ribosomal RNA", at positions 1212 to 2925 of the family's 2925-position model. The record is from RNAcentral.
UUCAGGAGAGUCAGGGGUAGGGGAGCGUCGUAUGAGAGGCGAAGCAUUAGCGGAAGCGGGUGUGGAUUUCAUACGAGUGAGAAUGCCGGAAUGAGUAGCGAGAAUUAUGUGAGAAUCAUAAUGGCCGAAAGUCUAAGGGUUUAGGAGGAAGGUUCGUCCGCUCCUAGUUAGCCGGGAGCUAAGGUGAGGCCGAAAGGCGUAGCCGAUGCACAUACGGUGGAUAUUCCGUAGCCUCCAAAAGAUUUAAGUACAGGGACGCUUUUGAAGUGAUUGAGCCGGGCGAUGGUAGACCCGGUCGUAAGGGAGCGAAAUUUAGUAGCGAAGCAAUCAUGGAAGAAGACGAGAAAAGCUGUAUGUAUAUCUUCGGAGCCCGUACCGCAAACCGACACAGGUAGACAGGAAGAAGAUUCUAAGGCCAACGGGAGAAGGGUUGUUAAGGAACUCGGCAAGUUGACCCCGUAACUUCGGAAUAAGGGGUGCUCAUGAAAGUGAGCCGCAGAGAAUAGGCCCAGGCAACUGUUUAGCAAAAACACAGGUCUCUGCUAAAUCGAAAGAUGACGUAUAGGGGCUGACACCUGCCCGGUGCCGGAAGGUUAAGAGGAGAAGUGAGAGCUUUGAAUUGAAGCCCCGGUAAACGGCGGCCGUAACGAUAACGGUCCUAAGGUAGCGAAAUUCCUUGUCAGGUAAGUUCUGACCCGCACGAAUGGUGUAAUGAUCUGGGCACUGUCUCGACAACCCGCCCGGCGAAAUUGUAGUACCGGUGAAGAUGCCGGUUACCCGCGACUAGACGGAAAGACCCCAUGGAGCUUUACUGUAGCUUAAUAUUGGAUUUUGGUAUAUCAUGUACAGGAUAGGUGGGAGACUGGGAACCUGUGGCGUCAGCUGCAGGGGAGUCGAUGUUGGGAUACCACUCUUGAUGUACUAGAAUUCUAACCUGCGGCCGUGAAUCCGGUCGGGGGACAUUGUUAGGUGGGCAGUUUGACUGGGGCGGUCGCCUCCAAAAGAGUAACGGAGGCGCUCAAAGGUUCGCUCAGCAUGGACGGAAACCAUGCAUUAGAGUGUAAACGCAGAAGCGAGCCUGACUGCGAGAAUGACGGUUCGAGCAGAUACGAAAGUAGGAGUUAGUGAUCCGGCGGUAUGUGAGUGGAAAUGCCGUCGCUUAACGGAUAAAAGCUACCCUGGGGAUAACAGGCUGAUCUCCCCCAAGAGUUCACAUCGACGGGGAGGUUUGGCACCUCGAUGUCGGCUCAUCGCAUCCUGGGGCUGAAUUCGGUCCCAAGGGUUUGGCUGUUCGCCAAUUAAAGCGGUACGCGAGCUGGGUUCAGAACGUCGUGGGACAGUUCGGUCCCUAUCUGUCGUGGGCGUAGGAUAUUUGAAAGGAGCUGUCCCUAGUACGAGAGGACCGGGAUGGACGCACCUCUGGUGCACCAGUUGUCACGCCAGUGGCACAGCUGGGCAGCUAUGUGCGGAACGGAUAAACGCUGAAGGCAUCUAAGCGUGAAGCCGGCCUUAAGAUAAGAUAUCCCACUGAGUAAUCAGGUAAGACCCCUUGAAGACUACAAGGUUGAUAGGCUUAAAGUGGAAGCGCCGUGAGGCGUGCAGCUUGCGAGUACUAAUCGGUCGAGGGCUUGACCU